Molecule: unclassified non-coding RNA, 289 nt
Filed under: Hevea brasiliensis (rubber tree)
Lineage: Eukaryota; Viridiplantae; Streptophyta; Magnoliopsida; Malpighiales; Euphorbiaceae
Source: RNAcentral
AGACCUCACAUCAGCCUUCUUCUCUCUCCCCAUUCCCCGCCACACGCUCAUUUCCCAGUCCCAUCCAACAGUAACAGUUCAAGUUACCCGUCAAUUACAUCCAGCAAUGACAAUUGCACCCAUCUUAACAACUUAGCUAGUAGCAACACGCAAGAACAAGAUAAAGAAAUCAUUUAAGUCUCCAAUUGGUGAAGCUUCUGGUGAUAGCAGCAGUGGAAUGAUUGAUUAUAUGCUCAAUAAUUCUCAUCAGCAACAAGUAUCAUACGGGUUUUGCACUUCAACUUCUCUU